RNAcentral lists this transfer RNA (28 nucleotides) under Lathyrus japonicus (sea pea). RNAcentral describes it as "partial tRNA-His". The record is from RNAcentral. Lineage: Eukaryota; Viridiplantae; Streptophyta; Magnoliopsida; Fabales; Fabaceae.
UAGAUUUUAUUAUAUUCCAUAAUUUGAU